Long non-coding RNA from Ictalurus punctatus (channel catfish), 872 nucleotides. RefSeq lists it as uncharacterized. The transcript is spliced from 2 exons. The record is from RefSeq and is a predicted model, not a curated record. NCBI's taxonomy places the organism in Eukaryota, Metazoa, Chordata, Actinopteri, Siluriformes, Ictaluridae.
CAAACUAUUAAAUUAAAUUCCAGCUCAGAAUUACAAACCUGACUUCGAAAAUAACAUUGUAAUUCAGAUUUUUUGCUUUGAAGUUUAAAUUCCUAGUCGUAUGAGUCAAAUUGAAUUGAAUUUACUUGAAAAUGCCCCAAUGCCGCCAUCUGGUGGUAGAAACGGACAGUGUAAAUUUUAACGUCCUUUCAUGACGGCGUGGACUAUGGCCUUGGCUCCUCCAAUGACAUUCAUAGCCCCGCCCUCUAUACAAAAUUCACCAAUUACAUACCUGAUCCCACCCUCUAGAAGAUCCCAACCAAUGACGAACGUGGCCCCGCCCUCUAUACAAGCCCAACCAAUGACAGACUUAGCCCUGCCCUUUUCCGGCUGUCUGACGGUCCCGCGAAUUUUAUGCCGCGGUGGCAUUUUCUUUUCGUUUCGGUUAUUGAGGACGCGUGCUCGCUUUCGUACAGGAUUAUGUUUUUUUUGCUAUCGUUAAACCUAACGAUAUAGGAUAUUUAAUAAGAGUUUUUAAAAUUAAAUCAGGCACGGGUUAAUUCCCCCCCCCAUUGUGUUCUUUGUAAGGGGGGGCGGGAAACAGGAUGCACGAGCCACGUGCACACAUUUCAGUAAUUAGCUGGAGAGAAGAUGAGGAUGAGCACCAUGUGCUGGCUGAGGUAGUGCUUUGUGCUGUUGGUCGGGUCGCUCCUCUGCCCGCUGAUGGAGAUGACGGCGCAAAACACUGCCUUGCUAGAGCUGGUGAUGAACCGCAUAUAAUCUACAAGACCUACACACCAGAUUUACAAGAUUUACACACCAGUCAUUUAUGUUUUUAUAACUCAAAUUCAAACCUGGGCUUUAUUUUAAAUAAAUAAAUGUGAUCCCACAUC